AGCGAACGCUGGCGGCAGGCCUAACACAUGCAAGUCGAACGAACUCUUCGGAGUUAGUGGCGGACGGGUGAGUAACACGUGGGAACGUGCCUUUAGGUUCGGAAUAACUCAGGGAAACUUGUGCUAAUACCGAAUGUGCCCUUCGGGGGAAAGAUUUAUCGCCUUUAGAGCGGCCCGCGUCUGAUUAGCUAGUUGGUGAGGUAAAGGCUCACCAAGGCGACGAUCAGUAGCUGGUCUGAGAGGAUGAUCAGCCACAUUGGGACUGAGACACGGCCCAAACUCCUACGGGAGGCAGCAGUGGGGAAUCUUGCGCAAUGGGCGAAAGCCUGACGCAGCCAUGCCGCGUGAAUGAUGAAGGUCUUAGGAUUGUAAAAUUCUUUUCACCGGGGACGAUAAUGACGGUACCCGGAGAAGAAGCCCCGGCUAACUUC
This 431-nucleotide ribosomal RNA is filed under the name Brevundimonas vesicularis. Its description in RNAcentral is "bacterial SSU rRNA". It matches the Rfam family "Bacterial small subunit ribosomal RNA", at positions 29 to 504 of the family's 1533-position model. The record is from RNAcentral. Lineage: Bacteria; Pseudomonadati; Pseudomonadota; Alphaproteobacteria; Caulobacterales; Caulobacteraceae.